This 468-nucleotide ribosomal RNA is filed under the name uncultured bacterium. RNAcentral describes it as "partial 16S ribosomal RNA". It matches the Rfam family "Bacterial small subunit ribosomal RNA", at positions 28 to 507 of the family's 1533-position model. The record is from RNAcentral.
GACGAACGCUGGCGGCGUGCUUAACACAUGCAAGUCGAACGGAAAGGCCCUGCUUUUGUGGGGUGCUCGAGUGGCGAACGGGUGAGUAACACGUGAGUAACCUGCCCUUGACUUUGGGAUAACUUCAGGAAACUGGGGCUAAUACCGGAUAGGAGCUCCUGCUGCAUGGUGGGGGUUGGAAAGUUUCGGCGGUUGGGGAUGGACUCGCGGAUGAUCAGCUUGUUGGUGGGGUAGUGGCUUACCAAGGCUUUGACGGGUAGCCGGCCUGAGAGGGUGACCGGCCACAUUGGGACUGAGAUACGGCCCAGACUCCGACGGGAGGCAGCAGUGGGGAAUAUUGCACAAUGGGCGGAAGCCUGAUGCAGCAACGCCGCGUGCGGGAUGACGGCCUUCGGGUUGUAAACCGCUUUCGCCUGUGACGAAGCGUGAGUGACGGUAAUGGGUAAAGAAGCACCGGCUAACUACGUG